UUCUUCGUGUACUUCCAGUAAGUUCAUUUUUUGUUAUGUUGGCAUAUGAGUUAUCAUAGUUUCAUUCACCGAAUUCAAUUAGUUAAUUACUUUUUGUUCAAUACAUCAGAAAUUCAGAAUUUAGGAGUAUUUUUAUUUUUAUUUUUUUCCUUAUUUUUGAAAAUAGCAAAUCAGAUGACUAUAUAUUUUUUUUUGAAAACUUCUUAUAGUCUUUAACUAUAACAGUAAGUUUAAUUCCAGUGAUAUAGGCGUUGCCUUUUUAAUAAGUAUAAUCAAUAGAAGAGUUUUUAUUUCUUUUUAUUCUUUCAUAAUAUGUUAAAUUUUUU
Molecule: long non-coding RNA, 326 nt
Filed under: Salvia miltiorrhiza (redroot sage)
Lineage: Eukaryota; Viridiplantae; Streptophyta; Magnoliopsida; Lamiales; Lamiaceae
Description: long non-coding RNA (SMIL_LNC010042)
Source: RNAcentral